Molecule: long non-coding RNA, 1397 nt
Organism: Dreissena polymorpha
Lineage: Eukaryota; Metazoa; Mollusca; Bivalvia; Myida; Dreissenidae
Exons: 3
Source: RefSeq, a predicted model, not a curated record
UGCGACGCAAUCCCUGGAGCAUAUUGUGAUUCUACAACGAGUAAAUGCAAAUGUGGGGCUCUCUACACGGCUGGUACCGCGGGAGCUUCCGGGACUUGCGUGGUUACCCCCUGCCUAACUGCGACCGCCACAACUUGCACUGACUUGGACAGCAACUCUCGCUGUGCUAAUUUGAACUGUGACUGCGCAACCGGCUAUGACGUAUACGGAAGUUCCAGCAAAUGCCAGUCUGCCGGCAGCGGAAGCGUAGGUCUGAUGGCGUCCGCCUUCAUGUUGGCAGUUGGAGUCUUCUUUACAAUUCUUAGCUUCUAAAGUCCACAGAGUUCACCUCCCCUCCAAAAAAGACAUGCUAUCUAGAUUAAAUAUGUCUUCUCUAAUUUCCUUACUGACAUUUUGCAUGUAGCGUUAUUAAGUUUUAUUUACGUGUCGUAACAAAACCAACAUAAACAUUGGUACUCACGAAAUCGUUUCGCGUUUAUAAUUUUAUCCACUUAAAAGGGGCAUUUUCAUGUUGUGAUAAAUUGACAAAAUUUUAAAAAAUGUUUUAAAUUAUUCAUUAUAUGCAUCUUUUGAUGAUUUAAACACCUGAACAAUAUAAAGCGCUGCAGCGCGAAACGAUUGAAACGGUUCUGUUAUUUUCGUUAUAUUUUGUGAUACUGUGAUGAUUGCUUAUAUAAAGUAUAACAUACACCACUCAUUGUAUUUACACGAAUGGCCAAGUGGUCUUAGCUAUAAAUUUUUAAUCCAGGGAUCAGUGGUUCGAUCCCAGUUGACGGUUACUUAUUUAUCUUUCUUUGAUUUUAUUUUUUGUUUUUGUUACUGGAGCUUUUAAGAUCCAAUGUUUGCAUUUAUUAAUAUAAAGCAUUUUAGAAAACAUCAAUGCAUUCCAAAUCUGUGAAAUACCCCUUUUAGCAAUGAUUUCUCAUGACAGAACAGGUCUUUUUAUGUAAAUGUUUACGCCAGUGAUGCUCUUUUUGUUCACUGUUCUUUUUUUAAUAUGUGACAGAAGAUUGAAAUAUGUUGAAAUCUCCAAAUUGUGAUAAAGAUCUUUAAACAUUUACUCUUAUUAUUUACCAAUGUUUAUUUGCAAUAACAUACAUAUAAUCAAUUUGGUUUUUGCAUGUUGCAAUAACAUUGAAUUUAGUGUGUUUCAAUACAAGCGAUUCAUAUAUCGGCCAUUUCUUUUGUGUGAUAUUUAUAGUACGAUGUAUUUUUGUAUUGUUUAAACAAAACAUAUCAAUCAAUAAUAAUCUAUUGAUGAUAUUAUUUGUUUUUACUAUAAAUAGAUUCAUUUGCUUACAUGAUCACAAAAGUAGUGGAACAUAAACUUCUGAUAAAACGAGAAGAUACAACAUGUGAUCUGUUGUUAUUUUGGUGUGAAUGAAUCCUUAUGUGUU